This is a long non-coding RNA of Oncorhynchus tshawytscha (Chinook salmon), 1098 nucleotides long. The record is from Ensembl. Lineage: Eukaryota; Metazoa; Chordata; Actinopteri; Salmoniformes; Salmonidae.
CAAAGGAAUUGUCUGUAGAGCUCAGAGACAGGAUUGUGUCGAGGCACUGAUCUGGGGAAGGGUACAAACAUUUCUGCAGCAUUGAACAUCCCCAAGAACACAGUUGCCUCCAUCAUUCUUAAAUGGAAGAAGUUUGGAACCACCAAGACUUCCUAGAGCUGGCCACCUGGCCAAACUGAGCAUUUGGUGGAGAAGGUCCUUGGUCAGUGAGAUGACCAAUAACCUGAUGGUCACUCUGACACAGCUCCAGAGUUCCUCUGUGGAGAUGGGAGAACCUUCCAGCGGGACAACCAACUCUGCAGCACUCCACAAAUUAGGACUAUAUGGUAGAGAGGCUUGAUGGAAGCCAUUCCUCAGUAAAAGGCACAUGACAGCCUACUUGGAGUUUGCCAAAAGGCACCUAAAGGACUUUCAGACCAUGAGAAACCAGAUUCUCUGGUCUGACGAAACCAAUAUUUUACUCUUUGGCCUGAAUGCCAAGCUUCAUGUCUGGAGGAAACCUGAAGCAUGGUGGUGGCAGCAUUAUUUUGUUGGGAUGUUUUUCAGCGGCAGGGACUGGUAGACAAGUCAUGAUUGAGGGAAUGAUUAACGGAGCAAAGUACAGAAAGAUCAUUGAUGAAAACCUGCUCCAGAGCUCUCAGGACCUCAGACUAGGGUGAAGGUUCACCUUCCAACAGGACAACGACCCUAAGCACACAGCCAAGACAAUGCAGGAGUGGCUUCAGGACAAGUGUCUGAAUGUCCUUGAGUGGUCCAGCCAGAGCCUGGACUUGAACCUGAUUGAACAUCUUCAGGAGAUACCUGAAAAUAGCUGUGCAGUAACACUCCCCAUCCAACCUGACAGAGCUUGAGAGGAUCUGCAGAGAAGAAUGGGAGAAACUCUCCAAAUACAGAGGACCUGAGCCCUAGGACCAUGCCCCAGGAUUACCUGACAUGAUGACUCCUUGCUGUCCCCAGUCCACCUGGCCGUGCUGCUGCUCCAGUUUCAACUGUUCUGCCUUCUUAUUAUUCGAACAUGCUGAUCAUUUAUGAACAUUUGAACAUCUUGGCCAUGUUCUGUUAUAAUCUCCACCCGGCACAGCCAGAAGAGGACUGGCC